RNAcentral lists this ribosomal RNA (521 nucleotides) under uncultured bacterium. Its description in RNAcentral is "partial 16S ribosomal RNA". It matches the Rfam family "Bacterial small subunit ribosomal RNA", at positions 28 to 523 of the family's 1533-position model. The record is from RNAcentral.
GACGAACGCUGGCGGCGUGCCUAAUACAUGCAAGUCGAACGCUUCUUACUUAUCGAACUUCGGUUCACCAAGUAAGAAGAGUGGCGAACGGGUGAGUAACACGUGGGUAACCUGCCCAUCAGAGGGGGAUAACACUUGGAAACAGGUGCUAAUACCGCAUAAUUCUUUUUGUCGCAUGAUAGAAAGAUGAAAGGCGCUUUUGCGUCACUGAUGGAUGGACCCGCGGUGCAUUAGCUAGUUGGUAGGGUAAUGGCUUACCAAGGCAAAGAUGAAUAGCCGACCUGAGAGGGUGAUCGGCCACACUGGGACUGAGACACGGCCCAGACUCCUACGGGAGGCAGCAGUAGGGAAUCUUCGGCAAUGGACGAAAGUCUGACCGAGCAACGCCGCGUGAGUGAAGAAGGUUUUCGGAUCGUAAAACUCUGUUGUUAGAGAAGAACAAGGAUGAGAGUAAAAUGUUCAUCCCUUGACGGUAUCUAACCAGAAAGCCACGGCUAACUACGUGCCAGCCGCCGCCGUAA